RNAcentral lists this ribosomal RNA (749 nucleotides) under uncultured Capnocytophaga sp. Its description in RNAcentral is "bacterial SSU rRNA". It matches the Rfam family "Bacterial small subunit ribosomal RNA", at positions 28 to 776 of the family's 1533-position model. The record is from RNAcentral. Lineage: Bacteria; Pseudomonadati; Bacteroidota; Flavobacteriia; Flavobacteriales; Flavobacteriaceae.
GAUGAACGCUAGCGGCAGGCCUAACACAUGCAAGUCGAGGGAGAGGUUAUCUUCGGGUAACCAAAACCGGCGCACGGGUGCGUAACGCGUAUACAAUCUGCCUUUCACAUAGGGAUAGCCCGAAGAAAUUUGGAUUAAUACCUAAUGGUAUAUAAGAGCGGCAUCGUUUUUAUAUUAAAGCUACGGUGGUGAAAGAUGAGUAUGCGUUCUAUUAGCUAGUUGGAGAGGUAACGGCUCCCCAAGGCGACGAUAGAUAGGGGUUCUGAGAGGGAUGUCCCCCACACUGGUACUGAGAUACGGACCAGACUCCUACGGGAGGCAGCAGUGAGGAAUAUUGGACAAUGGUCGGAAGACUGAUCCAGCCAUGCCGCGUGCAGGAUGAAGGUCCUAUGGAUUGUAAACUGCUUUUGUAAGGGAAGAAUAAGGGGUACGUGUACUUUGAUGACGGUACCUUACGAAUAAGCAUCGGCUAACUCCGUGCCAGCAGCCGCGGUAAUACGGAGGAUGCGAGCGUUAUCCGGAAUCAUUGGGUUUAAAGGGUCCGUAGGCGGGCUGAUAAGUCAGAGGUGAAAGCGCUUAGCUCAACUAAGCAACUGCCUUUGAAACUGUCAGUCUUGAAUGAUUGUGAAGUAGUUGGAAUGUGUAGUGUAGCGGUGAAAUGCUUAGAUAUUACACAGAACACCGAUAGCGAAGGCAUAUUACUAACAAUUUAUUGACGCUGAUGGACGAAAGCGUGGGGAGCGAACAGG